Molecule: ribosomal RNA, 275 nt
Filed under: uncultured Lachnospiraceae bacterium
Lineage: Bacteria; Bacillati; Bacillota; Clostridia; Lachnospirales; Lachnospiraceae
Description: partial 16S ribosomal RNA
Rfam family: Bacterial small subunit ribosomal RNA
Source: RNAcentral
AUUUCUUCGGAAUGAAACCAGAUAUGACUUAGUGGCGGACGGGUGAGUAACGCGUGGGUAACCUGCCUUAUACAGGGGGAUAACAGUUGGAAACGACUGCUAAUACCGCAUAAGCGCACGGUAUCGCAUGAUACAGUGUGAAAAACUCCGGUGGUAUAAGAUGGACCCGCGUCUGAUUAGCUAGUUGGCAGGGCAACGGCCUACCAAGGCGACGAUCAGUAGCCGACCUGAGAGGGUGACCGGCCACAUUGGGACUGAGACACGGCCCAAACUCC